Molecule: long non-coding RNA, 4645 nt
Organism: Homo sapiens (human)
Lineage: Eukaryota; Metazoa; Chordata; Mammalia; Primates; Hominidae
Exons: 3
Source: RefSeq, a predicted model, not a curated record
UACAGGCAUGAGCCACCGUGCCCGCCGUAAAUAAAGUUUUAUUGGAACAGUGCCAUGCUUAUCAUGUCCAUUGCUUACAUAUUGUCUAUGGCUACUUUCAUUUUACCAUAGCAGAGUGGAAGAGGUAUGAAUAUGGUCUGCAAAGCAUAAAAUAUUUACCAUCUGGCCCUUUACAGAGAAAGUUGCCAAUCCCUGGACUCAAGCCUCUGUGGCUGAUUGGCAUGGUGGUCCCUUCUUUACCCCACUCUAUCCAUGUCUAGGGCUAUGUAACUUGCAGUGCCCGCCCAUAUUUUGCCUCCAGACACUGAACUCAGCCAUGUGACUUGUUCUGGCCAAUGGGAUCUUAGCAGACAUAACACAAGCAGAAGGUUGAAAAACACUAUGUGAUUGGGCCACUUUCUUUUAUACCUCGUAGUCUCCAUGAGAACAGCCUAGGCUUGCUUGCUGGGGGAUGAGAGACACAGGGAGCUGAGUCACUCCAGCUGAGGCCAGUCUAGAUCAACCAAAGGCCAGCUAACACCCAGACAAGUGGGUGGGCCCAUCCAAGGUGGAAAACAACCCAUCAACAGAACACCUAUUUACUGUCUACUGUGUGUGAAGCAUGGUGCUGAGUGUGGGGGAUGGUCUAAAGCCAAGACCUCCAGGGGCUUACAGUUCAGUCCGAAAGACAAGGUGUAAAUGCCUGCUGGAAACAUGCAGUGACCCCAGGUGGCAUGAGACAGACGGAGGCUUGACCACAGACAGAGGGGAAGGUGAUGUGAUGGAAGCAGAGACUGGAAGAUGCCACAUCGCUGGCUUUGAAGAUGGAGGAAGGGGCCAUGAGCCAAGGAAUGCAAGGAAUGAAGCUCUAGAGGCUGAAGAAGGCCAGGAAACGGAUACUGCUCUAGAGCCUCCGGAAGGAACUUUAGCCCAGUGAAACUGAAUUAAUCCUGAAUGCUAAGAGAAUAAUGUGUUGUUUUAAGCCAGUCUCUUGUGGUCAUUUGUUACAAUAGUCACAGGAAGCCACAGUUUCACACCGGGAUGUGGGGGUGGUGGGGGUGGGAUUUGGAAAAGGCAGUGCUCCUCCCGGGAAGUGCUGAGCUUACUUGGGCUGGAGUAGAUGAUGGGAGAGGGAGGAGCAGACAGUGGAGGAGGCAUGGAAGGGUGAGGUCAAGCCGUGACACUCCUGAAACCGUCGGCUUGAGAGAGGAAACUUGAUUUAAACAUGACUGAAAUGUGCCCAGUGGGUCCCCAAUUUAUAGAUGAGGCAGUGGCGUUCUGAGACGCAGGCCUGCCCAACGCCACACAGCAGGCCAGUGGUUGAGCCAAGACUAAUUGGUGUGACUCGAGGUCUGAGUCACUCCUAUUCCAGCGGCUGACAGAACAGUGAAGUGGCCUGAUGAAGAGCGUUGUUUUUUUUUUUAAAGAAAAAUAGCUGGGCUGCAUUCGAGAGGCUGGAGCUGGCAGGGUUUCUUUGCUGGAGCACUGCUGCUAUGUCGGGCCGUAUUGCUGGUAUUGCACUGCUGAUAUUGUCAAGUCUUUGCUGUUGGGGCUGUCUUAGGCAUUGUGGGAUGGUUAGUAGCAUUCCUGGUCUCUACCCACUGGAUGCCAGGGGCACCCCUACUCACCCCACCCCAGUUUUGACAACCAAAAAUGUCGCCAGACGAUCCUGGAUGUUGCCUGUGAUAAGCUCCCCUCCUCUGAGUGAGAGGCAGGGAGCUCCGCUAAGGGCCCGAGAGACGCCCAGGUAUUCAGUGCUGAUCCUCUAACUGAGGGUGGGAGAAGUGAGGAUGAGAGGGAAGAAAGGGAAAGCCUUUUAAAGGGGUAGAAUGGUGGCCUCGUCAUCAGACGGGAGAGAGACAGGUUGGGGUUGCGGUGGGGUGUGGCAGGGAGAGAGAAGGAGCCCCCAGGCUGUUUCAGACAUGCUGAAUUUGAGGCACUGGCAGGACUCUGGGGAGGGAGGGUCAGCAGAGAGCCGGACAUGCCAAUCGGUAAUGCCGGCCCAGCCCAGCCCAUCCAGGGUCCUUGUGUGAAUGAAGAAAGAGGCCCCCUUCCUCCUGGUGGCCAUGGCCCCUGGCCAGGGACCCCACCUACUGCCUUGGCUGGACUCCCUGCACCACUUUCCUGGCAGCCCCUCCUGCAGAGGCGUCCGUGUGGAAAACACAUAGGAGUGGCUGGGGAAGCCCGGAAGUGCAGAGUUUCUUCAUGAGAAAGGAGAUGGGGUGGACCAAGGGCUGACUGCACAGGAGAAAACACCCUCGUUAGGGAUAGGAGUUGGUGAAGGGGGCUGCUGGGAAUGAAUGGAAAAGAUCAGGAGGGAAGCAGAGCGCCUAAAGGGUUUCAAAAAAGAGAAUGAAGAGCGUUGGGCAGGUCAGAGACACAGUCCCCGAGAGGGUGGUGGCCUAGUCAGUGCUGCAGGGGGCCCGUGUCAGUUACUUGGCAGAAAGGCCAAGAAGCUGGCAAUGAAGACCGAGGGUGCAACACGCUUCUUAAAGAUCACAGGUGAAGACAGGAGUAAGAGCAAUUGAAAAGGAGCGAAAGAAGCGAUGGAUUCCAGAGAAGAAUGAUUUUUUUCAGGAUGGUACAGCCAUCUUGAAGUGCCCCUUUGAUGGCAAAGGGAAGGAACUAAGAGGAAAAGAAAGGCCGCUGACGCCAAAGAAAGAAGAAUUUGUGCACAAGGUCCCUGGGAAGGAGAGGAAAGGGGAGACAGGGCAGGGUACGUGCUGCAUGUAGGAGGAAGACCUAGUGGGGAUAAUGGAGGGAAGGAAUAAAAGGUGGGCCAAGAGAGAAAAAGGAAGUGAGGAGAACAUGUUCUUGUGUGGGGCAAUGCACCAUUCGGAGGAUUUCCAGCACAGAAGCGUGAGAACAGCAAUAUUAUAAUAAUAGCAGACCUGGUGCGUGCCAGUGCUAUGCCAAGAGUUUGAUACGUUUUUCUAAUCAUUAUAAACAACCUGGUAAGGAAGUAUGUUCAUAUUUAUAGGUGAAACGACAGAAGCUCCCCAAGGUUAAGCUACAGAGCUGGUAAGUGUUAGAAUCAGAAUUCAGACCUAGAUCUGUCAAUCUCUUUUCAAAGGGUUUGGAGGCUUGAGAGUACAGGGUUGGGUUGGUGCGUUGGAGAGGUGCAUUGCAAGGAUACCAAGAUGGCGGAGGAGGUGAGAUGGCCGGGCUGACAUUGGCUUGGCCCACUGGACCUGGUGAAUACAGGGAUUUGUGGAGGCUCUGUUGGGAUGAGUCUGGGAUUUUGCUCGGCUGCAACGUGUGACCCAGGAAUCAAAGGGGAAGGAUGAAAUCAUGGUUGGGAUCUGAGGAGGACUAAGGGGAGAGGUAGCUGAGGAUGCUGAAGGGGAGGCCAGUAUUUGAUCACAUUUCUAUUUCUAGAUUAGAUGACUAACUGUAAUCAUAAUGGGGAUUUUGCUCUUUGGGGGAAGGAACAAGUCUUUCUUAUACUUCUGUUUACAAAAGUUAUAAAUGUUGGUUAUAAAAACCCAAAUGUUACAGAAAUUCAUAAUGUGGGAAGUGUUUGCCACUGCGUCUUCAUGUUCUGCACAGUGGCUGGCACACAGGGGCCCUCAAUGAACAGUUGUUGAACAACUGAAUGGAAGUCAAGGUCCAGUGCAAUCCCACCCUGCUGGGAUAAUACUCCUAACAGUUUGAUGUCUUUUUCUCAAGGUUGUUCUUUUGCUCAGAUACUGACAUUUAAAAAAAAAAAAAGCACACCAAGCAUAUUGUAUUGCAACUUGCUUUCUUUUCAGUUAAAGACACAGUGUAUCUUGGAUAGUUGAGUGAUUUGCCAUGCAUGCAAGAAGAGUCUUUUAUUUGUAACAAAGUCUUGCAGAAAUAGACACAAACGACGGAGCUUGCAGAGAAAAAUGUAAAAAAUCCUUUCCUUCCCUUAUCAGAGGAACCCUGAGAAACCAGGCAGGAGGAGUAUUCAGCUGACUUUCAAGGUGCCGCCUAAACAUUCUUAUCCUCCCAGCUGAACCACACAGCAAAUCCUCCACCCUUCCGAACACACUGGACCCCAGCAGGCCUCACCUUGUGGGCUGCACGUGACAUCUCCCAACAACACCACAAGUCAUUUCCCUGACGUUUACCCCGCCUGGAUUCCCCUGGGGGAUUCGUUUCAGGAUUUCCAUCCUAGUUUGUGACGCGUGUUUUAUCUCUUAGGAGGAUGUUCUAAAAGGCAGGUAGCCUGGUGGUCAAGAGCAGGGAGUUUGAGGUUGGAGGGGCGUGGACUGAGUUGCAGCUUGGCCACUUGGCAGCCGGGACCCGAGGCCCACUGUCAGAUUCUAAGGAGGAGGCCUCUAGAAAGGGCUCUUGGCUUCAACCCAACUGAGGGCUUAGGGCUAAAGAAACCCCAUUUGCUGCUAAAUGGAGACAGGGCAGAGGCUCCAGAGGAUGUUACCUGGGUGCAAGUAAACCAGGCUAUGCGGUCCACAUGCCUACCUGCCUGGUGGCUACCCAUGUUUAGGUCAGAUGAAGUCAACCAGUAUUUGAGGCUGACGAUGACAGCAGCCCCCACCGAUUACGAGCUAACUGUGACCAGCACUGCCAUGCAUGUAUCCCAUCACUCAGUCCUCAUAUGCCGCUAGGAGACUGGAUGGCCAUUUCACGAGCAAGUAAAUGGAGGCGCAGCCACGUCACGUAACUGCCCACACAGCUAGUA